Molecule: unclassified non-coding RNA, 352 nt
Filed under: soil metagenome
Description: partial contains 5.8S ribosomal RNA, internal transcribed spacer 2, and large subunit ribosomal RNA
Rfam family: 5.8S ribosomal RNA (bases 1-121)
Source: RNAcentral
GAUGAAGAACGCAGUGAAAUGCGAUAAGUAAUGCGAAUUGCAGAAUUUCCGUGAGUCAUCGAAUCUUUGAACGCACAUUGCGCCCACUGGUAUUCCGGUGGGCAUGCCUGUUCGAGCGUCAUUAUCCUCCCUCAAAACUCCUGUUUUGGUGUUGGGCCGCGUUGGUCACCUCCGACCAACGGGCCUCAAAGACAAUGACGGCGUCCGUGGGACCCUCUUCGCAGUGAGCUUUUGUUAGCGCGCGUUGAGUUUAAAGGACCCCCCGGGCCGGCCACCUUUAUCUAUUUUACAAGGUUGACCUCGGAUCAGGUAGGAAUACCCGCUGAACUUAAGCAUAUCAAUAAGCGGAGGA